GGGGAACUCGGUCUGCCUGUCCACUCCGCUGGCCCAGACAGGAGGCUGAGCUGGGGCAUCCUAACGGUGCUAAUGAGGGGGUCCUAUGGAUCCAGACAGCGCCUGGGGCUGGCAGGAGGCCCAGGGGAGAGGCUGGAGGGCAGGGUGGGGCCACAAGCCAGCUUGGACGUGUGCUGAGUGCCGGGAGCUGGCUAAGGGCCAGGAGCUGUGGGGAGACUGCAGCAGAGCGGCGUCUCAGAAGCCCUGGGGAGGAAGACGGUGAGGGCGCAAGGCCCCUAGGAGGCUGCCAGCCCUCCAAGCCUCAGGCUCCUUCCCACGGGGAGUCUCCACCUCCCUUUGCCAGGGGACACCGGUCCCUUGGCUGUUCCUUCCUGGAGUUUUAUCCUGAAGGGGCUGCUCAGUCCUGUUGUAGAAGGUUCCAUUUGCCACAGCACCAAUGCAGAGGAGACCCCCAAGGGAUGAGCCAGCCCUUUGGACAGCUGGGUCCCCACCCCUGACAAUAAGUCCAAGCUGCCGUCCUCUCUCACCCUGACCACUGCUACAGCCUCCAGAUUUCGCCAUCCAAACUGGCUCUGACUGUCUCCAGCCGCUCCUCACACAGCAGCCACAGCCGUCUUUCUUGGAGUGACAUCUGAUUACAUCAUUCUCCUGCUUAACAGCCUCCAAGGACCUUGGCGAAACAGUGGGAGGUUAGGAGAAUCAGGACCAUCCUCCCUGGAGAACACAGACCAAUGACUCAGGCGCGUGGGCAGAGCUCAUCCAGUGGGUGAGGACCUCCACCAUCCUCAGCAGGAGUUUGUGGUCAACAGCCACCACUCCAGAAAAAUGUUAAAAAAGAGAAGGAGAGAGAGAGAGAUGACAUUUUAAAAAGAUGGAAAUGUUAAAUUUAGAAAUUAAAAACUUAAUAAUUGAAGUAAACCCUCAAUGGAUGCAUAUAAUAGCAGAUUAAACAUAGCUGAAGAGAGAGUCAGUGAACUAGAUGAAUGCAGCAAAGAGAGAAAAGGAGAUGGGGAAUAGAAAAG
Molecule: long non-coding RNA, 1022 nt
Filed under: Equus asinus (donkey)
Lineage: Eukaryota; Metazoa; Chordata; Mammalia; Perissodactyla; Equidae
Description: lncRNA (ENSEASG00005026251.1, ENSEASG00020035690.1)
Source: RNAcentral